Molecule: long non-coding RNA, 3259 nt
Organism: Lagenorhynchus albirostris (white-beaked dolphin)
Lineage: Eukaryota; Metazoa; Chordata; Mammalia; Artiodactyla; Delphinidae
Exons: 7
Source: RefSeq, a predicted model, not a curated record
UGAGACUCUAAGCCCCUGACCAGAUGAUUUCAGCAUUUGACGGGAUUCAGCUAUUAAUUCUUUGAUUCUCUUCUAAAUUCUUUUCAUAUCCUUCUUACCUAGCAGGACAAAAAUUUUAUAGUUUUGUGAGCACAUCUGACUGAAUUCUGCACACCUCUGAAGAACUGGUCAGGCUCUGCUGUCACAAAUCCAGAUUCAUACCAAUGACGCUCCAGAGCAGAAAAAUCCUCUUUCCAAGAAUAAACCACGGUUCCAGGUUUUGAUAUCAUAUGUAACUCCAAUUUUUUUUGAAAAAGGGAAGACUUCCUCCAUACUCUAUGCUCUGGAGCUAUUUAAAUAACAUGAAGGGACUUCCCUGGUGGUCCAGUGGUUAAGAAUCUACCUUCCAAUGCAGGGAAAGUGGAUUUGAUCCCUGGUCAGGGAACUAAGAUCCCACGCGCUGCAACUACUGAGCCCGCGUGCCACAACUAGAGAGAAGCCCACACGACACAACAGAAGAUCCCACGUGCACAACUAAGACCCGAGGCAGCCAAAUAAAUAAAUAAAUAUUAAAAUAAAUAAAUAGCAUGAAAAUGAUCUGUUCAAGGGUCAACUGUAUUUCUCUUUCAUUCUCUCUCUUCUUUCAACUUUCUCUAUUCCUUCUAUGAUAAUUUGUCUAGAAGUUCUAUCUUUUCUGCAGUGUCUUUUAAUAAUGCAUAUUUUCUGACACAAUCAUUAAUUACAUACAAAUUCACAAAAUUAUUUGCUUAGAUUUGAGUGAACGGCUCUAUAAUUUUUCGAAUGCCUUUGAGAGGUUAUUUCUCUAUUCUCAUUCCUAUUUUAUUUAUAUGUACUCUUUUACCCUUUUUCUUGAUUAGAUUAGAUUAGGGUUUCUCAGCCUUGGCACUACGGCCAUUUGGGGCCCAACGAUUCUUUGCUGUGGCGGACUGUCCCGAUAUUGUAGUACGUUCAGCAGCGUUCCUGAGCUUGACUCACCAGAUACCAGUAGCAACCCCCUUUCACCCCAGUUGUGGCAGCUAAAAUAUCUCCAAACAUUGCCAAAUGUCUGCUGGGGGUGAGGGUGGGGCAAAAUUGCCCAUGUUGAGAACUACUACAUUAGAUAACAGUUUAUCUGGAUUAUUUAAAUUUUCAUUUUGUUUUUAGAGAGCAAGAUGGUUUUAUUCUUCUAGUUCUAUCAUUUUUCAGUCUCAUUGACUUUUGCUUUUAUCUUUAUUACUUCUUUUGGAGCCAUUUUGUCUAUGUUUGUCUAAAUAGCUGGGUUGGAUGCCUCAUUUAUUUAUUACCGCUCUUACCUGUUUCACCCUAUGGUGUCAAGUGGGGUUCAAGGGGGUGUCUGCAUCCCCCAGCCCAGUCCACCCUCACAGAUCAUUUUGUAUCAUGCUAGAGGUCAUUGGCUUGCCCCGUGGAUGUUUCAUCACUUUGGAGAAGUCUGUGCUUUGCCAGCUCUUCCCAACUCUCUCCAUGAUUUGGAUUCUUAAUGUUUUCUAUUUUCCUCAGAGAAUGAGUUGCCAUUUCUUUUUAUCCUUUUUUGUGCAUUUGGUUCAUUUCAGAGUGAAAAAGAUGGUAGAAACACCUUUCAACAUCAUAUAAUCCCAAGUCUAAUAUGCUAAUUCUGUUAGGUCUGAUUUGAGCAAACGAUAUUGUUGGCUGCUAAUUGUCAAAAUGUACCUGCAGUUUGUAGGAACAGCAACUUGCAAUGUCACUUGCUUACAUCAGUCCUCAGAACCAUCAUCCAAAUCUUUAUUUUUGACAAACUAAAUUGUACUACCACCCUACUGUUAGAAACAGCAAACAGACAAAUCCCAGUUGUGGUGCGUUGAUGAUUUAAAAUAAUGCUCUUCUUGCCACAGAGGCAUUGAAUGGAUGAUGACUUCCAUAAACAUGGUGGCCCAGCGCAUCUAAUGACUGUGCUGCCAGGCAAAACAUGGAUGUCAACGAGCGUUACCCGGAUGAAAAACACUGAGACAUGGGAGCCCUCUUCCUUGUGGAACCCAGAUUUUAUGGACAAAGCCUGCCAACUGUAAUGACCCCUGAGCAUCAUUGAGAUAGGCUUGGAGCUGGGACGCUUUGCUGCAACGCUUGCCCCUGGACAAAUGUCUCCAAUCUUCAGAGAUGGUUUCUGGGGGAUGCUGAGUCCACCGCAUCCCCAGAUUGCCGGAGUUCUGACUACAAGCUGCUUUCCUUUCUGCCAACAUUUGUCUCUCUCUCGAGUGCUGAGUUUUGAGCAGCUUUCUUAGCAGUGAGCAGCAGGACCCAGCACCAGCAGAUAUUCUGAGGACUUCAAGCCCAGGACACAGCAUCUCCGAUAACGCUGAGAAACUGUUCCAAAGAGACAAGCAGAGGAGCCAGGAUAUAUAGAAGUUUUUGCCGCAAAAGACCAGGUUCUGAAGAGGCAGCAAUGUUCCUGCAUCUGUGGGAGCUUACAUUCUAGUUGAUGAAAUAAGAGAAACACACGAGAAAGUAUCAGAUGGGGCUGAACAGAAAACCUGGGAGAGUGCUGUGGUAGAGAGUGGCUACCUCCGAUUGGGCCUCAGGGAAGACUGGCCAGAGGAGGUGACUUUGAGUAGCAAUCUACUAUACAGCAACUGUGGACCAUGCUGAGUUCAGGAGGAAGGACAUUCACGGCAGAGCACAGCCUGGGCAAAGGAUCUAAUUAUUGGUAAUCAAUUCUGAGUGUUCGGUGGACAGAACGAAGUACUGUGGCUGGAGUGUGGCUGGCAAGGGGCAAGUGGGAUAUGGUGAGGUCAGAGAGCUCGCCGGCCAGGGUGAGGAACUGGUUUUUACUCGUGAUGUUGUUGGAGGACAAAUUGGAUGUUUUUCUACAAAGAAGUGACACAAUCUGAUUUAUAAUAAACAACUGAAUAGGUAAAUAAACAAGAUACUUUCAGACCAUGACACAAACUCUUUAACAAAUAAAUAAACAAGAUACUUACAGAAGAGGAUGACACAAACCUUUUAAUGAGUAAAUAUGUAAAUGAACAAGAUGCCUUUGGAGUAUCACCCACUGCCAGUCCAUUAAUAGACUACUCCCAUAACAUCUUGGUUUAUAGGAACAUUGUGACCAGACCUACCUGGACAGCUACAAGAACAAAGGAUUCCAGGACCAAGAAGUCUGCAACGACCAGCCACACCCCCUCCACUUUUAGUAAAAAAGAAGCCUGAAUUCUAAAUCAGGUAAGAUGGUUCUUUGGGACACUAGUCCACCGUCUUCUUGGUCUGCUGGCUUUCCAAAUAAAGUCACUAUUCCUUGCCCCAACAA